GACGACUCAGACGACUACGAGAGUCCUCAAGUUCAAGUGUUCAACAAAGAGAGUGAGAGACAACGAAUCAACGAUCCACAGUUCCAUACUUCGAUCGAUCUCCCGUGCCGAGUCGCCGACUGACGAGUCACGACUCACGAGUGACGUCUGUGUUACUGUGUAGCUUCUUCUUCAGUUCUUCCCUACAGGCUACAGCCUACAGGUAGCUUCGUCUUCUCUACACUUCGAUCGAUCGACACUGCUAUGUUCUGUUUUUGUUUUUACUUUUUAGUUUGUUUCUGGCUUUAUGCUACACUUCUGUUUUUGUUUCAGUUUGUUUUCACUUUUCAGUUUGGGGUUACUAAAUUUCUUCAAUUUUGGUAAAACCUUGCAAUUUCGGCAAAGAAGAGAAGCAAUUUCUGCAAUUUCUUUUGUUGAUAAAACCUAAAAUCUUUUGUUGGGGUUACUAAAUUUCUGCAAUUUCUGCAAGUGAAACAUGAUGAGUUAAUGAUCAAGCAACCAUGUAUUUACUCUUGAUCAUCAUUGUGCAGGUACUAAUCAUGGAUAGAAUUUCUGUGAAAGUCAUGUCUUGCUCUUGCAAAAU
This 583-nucleotide long non-coding RNA is filed under the name Panax ginseng (ginseng). RNAcentral's name for it is "long non-coding RNA (PGIN_LNC012026)". Lineage: Eukaryota; Viridiplantae; Streptophyta; Magnoliopsida; Apiales; Araliaceae. The record is from RNAcentral.